UGUAAAGGGCUUUGUAUGCUCUUUGGCACAUAGUCUGUGCUUAGUAUAAAGCAUGCUAUUAUUUCUAGAAGAACUCAGACUCUUGUGUACGCAGAGGAACACCCUGGCUGCUAGUGAGGUUAACUUGCUCAGUCAUUUGUUCUUUUUGCAAGUGUUUGGUGCUGGGUGUCAGUGAUCUUGUGUAAGGCAAAUGGCACAUGGUCGGUGAAUAUUUACGGAGUGUAUGGCUACAGAGAUUUUCAUCCUCUUGGGGAAGUUUGCCUGGGAAGGGGUCACGCUUGCCUGGUGAGGAGAAACCCAUGAAGGACCCUGUCUCCCAGAUGGAGGAAAUCUGACAAGCAGUGGUGUGGGGAGCAGGCCUGCGGCUAUUCUCACACCAGUGUCUUCAUCGUUGGUGUGAUUUGGGCCCAGGAGGACUUAUGUUUUGGAGAAGGAACUUCAAACUGCCUUUUUGGGGACAUGCAGGUUAUAACCCUGCAUGUUGAUGACAGAUUUCCUGAGUGAUGGUAACCAGAUGGGUGUUGGAAUCAGCUUCUUAGCUCUGGCCAGGUGACUAAACAGGUAUGUUGAUGUUAUUUGCUUUUCAUAAUUUGCAUGAAACUAAUUUGAUCUCAGUCAUAAUCAAGGAGACAUGAUCUUCAGCAGAAAGAACAACAUCUCAUAUAAAAUUGUGUGUCUUGGGUCAUCUUUCAUCUACCUUUGAAGUGAUUUAUGACUCUCUAAGCUAAUAAAACACCUUGCUGAAAUAAAACGAUUUGUCCA
RNAcentral lists this long non-coding RNA (762 nucleotides) under Bos indicus x Bos taurus (hybrid cattle). Its description in RNAcentral is "lncRNA (ENSBIXG00000006237.1)". Lineage: Eukaryota; Metazoa; Chordata; Mammalia; Artiodactyla; Bovidae. The record is from RNAcentral.